Molecule: ribosomal RNA, 514 nt
Filed under: uncultured bacterium
Lineage: Bacteria
Description: bacterial SSU rRNA
Rfam family: Bacterial small subunit ribosomal RNA
Source: RNAcentral
ACGGACUUCGGUCUGGUGGCGAGUGGCGAACGGGUGAGUAACAUAUCGGAACGUAUCCAAUAAUGGGGGAUAACUAAUCGAAAGGUUGGCUAAUACCGCAUACGCCCUACGGGGGAAAGCUAGGGACCUUCGGGCCUGGCGUUAAUGGAGCGGCCGAUAUCUGAUUAGCUAGUUGGUGGGGUAAAGGCCCACCAAGGCGACGAUCAGUAGCUGGUCUGAGAGGACGACCAGCCACACUGGAACUGAGACACGGUCCAGACUCCUACGGGAGGCAGCAGUGGGGAAUUUUGGACAAUGGGCGCAAGCCUGAUCCAGCCAUUCCGCGUGAGUGAAGAAGGCCUUCGGGUUGUAAAGCUCUUUCGCAAGGGAAGAAAACUUAGAUACUAAUAUUAUCUGAGGUUGACGGUACCUUGAUAAGAAGCACCGGCUAACUACGUGCCAGCAGCCGCGGUAAUACGUAGGGUGCGAGCGUUAAUCGGAAUUACUGGGCGUAAAGCGUGCGCAGGCGGUUUUG